GACGAACGCUGGCGGCGUGCUUAACACAUGCAAGUCGAACGGAAAGGCCCUGCUUUUGUGGGGUGCUCGAGUGGCGAACGGGUGAGUAACACGUGAGUAACCUGCCCUUGACUUUGGGAUAACUUCAGGAAACUGGGGCUAAUACCGGAUAGGAGCUCCUGCUGCAUGGUGGGGGUUGGAAAGUUUCGGCGGUCGGGGAUGGACUCGCGGCUUAUCAGCUUGUUGUUGGGGUAGUGGCUUACCAAGGCUUUGACGGGUAGCCGGCCUGAGAGGGUGACCGGCCUCAGAGGGGCUGAGAUACGACCCAGACUACUACGGGAGGCAGCAGUGGGGAAUAUUGCACAAUGGGAAGAAGCCUGAUGCAGCAACGCCGCGUGCGGGAUGACGGCCUUCGGGUUGUAAACCGCUUUCGCCUGUGACGAAGCGUGAGUGACGGUAAUGGGUAAAGAAGCACCGGCUAACUACGUG
Molecule: ribosomal RNA, 468 nt
Filed under: uncultured bacterium
Lineage: Bacteria
Description: partial 16S ribosomal RNA
Rfam family: Bacterial small subunit ribosomal RNA
Source: RNAcentral